UGGGCGUCAUAGAAAGUGCAACCACCAUCAGUACAUGUUUGCUAUCAGUACUGUGAUGCUGAACUGGCCUGAACUGUCAUCUUUGUUGCAGCUCCUCCUCCGCUUCCUCCAAAAAACAUUCCAUCAAGAAGUCGUUACGACUAUUCUUCGGACUCUGCCGGUACAUUCACAGCUUUGUAAUCAAUCAUACGGAUGGUCCCUUGAGUGCUUUGAUCUAAAUGCUACCUUAAACUCUUUGCAGCUGAUCUACCCAAUGGAAGGACAGCUUGCAGGUCUGCCCCCAUCUACCUGAACGUCCUGUCCCCCGCAUCUUACGGGGGCUCCCCGGCCCCUGACCUGGACGACGUGUUCGGCCCCCUGGACGGCACCCACACCAGUGAGGAAGCAAUGUCUCCCAGAUGGGUUACUUUCACCAGCGACAGACCCCCGCCGCCUGAUGAGCCUGCUCCCCCUCCGCCGCCAGACUCUCCUCCUCCAGACACGCCCUCGUCCACCCCCUCCACCCCCUGCCUCUCUCCAGGGCCGCCGCCAAACGAGCCCCCGCCUUCACCUCCGUCUCUCUCUCCCGGUUCUCCUCCUCCUUUCACGCCGCCAGAAUCCCCCCCCUGCAUCAUGCUCAGACCUCCUCCUCCAGAUGAACCAGCCCCUCCCCUGCCUCCCGAUUUCUCCCCCUCUAACUCGCCUCCUAUAUGCUUCGACAACGAUGCGAUCGACGAGGAGGUGCUGCAGUUUGCAGAGUACUGUUCGUCCCCCGCCCCAACCAGCCCCGUGCCCCCUCUGCCAGCAGAGCGGAGGUCUCCUCGAACGGGAGUCACAUCUCCCCUGGUCCUGGGGGGCGUGGGAGGAAAGAGGACUCCAGAGGGAGCAUACCUGAGAGAUGAUAUCCCAGACUUUGUGGGUUCACCCAGAGAGCUGACGCCGAGCUUCAGAGGCACGCCACCUCCUCUCCCUCCAACCACCUACAGGUCUAUCAUGUCUUCCCCGGGGCCCUCCUCAGGCAGCAGCCCCUCGUCCCCAGCUCGUCCCGUCACGCCUCAGUCCAGAGGCAGUCCAGUCCCUCCGCCUCCUCCUCCUCGACCGUCCUCGCGACCAAAGCUGCCCCCUGGGAAACCAAUCACAGACCUGGUACAUGUGAAGUGUCCUUCAUUUCUCUAACUCUCUGUUUGCCUUCCUCCACUUUGAUGAUGUAUUCUGUUAAAACAGGUAACAACUGAUUAUUAAUUCAAUUGUUGUUGUGUGCUGUCUCCAGACUCGGCCCUUCAGUCCGCCAGUUUCAGGCAGCCCCCCGCCUUUCGCCCCCCUGGCACGAGCAGAGAGCUCUUCCUCCAUCUCCUCCAUCAACCUACACAGCGCAGCGUCCACUCCAACCUUAGGAAGGGACCUUAACUUGUCCGCCGCAGGUACACCACAAACAAGUCAUCGUGCUCUUCCCGUUUUUCUUCAGCCUCACAUCUCAGUGUGUCCAUGUUGUCUGUCGCUCAUCAUCGUGUCCUUGCCUCACAGUCUUGUCCCUCUCCAUGAUUCUCUCCUCCUCAUGUCUCUGCUCACUCAGAGGCCUCACAGCCUCUGGUAUGGUUUGACCACGGCAGGUUUUAUUUAGCUUUUGAAGGUGAGUCGAGC
Molecule: long non-coding RNA, 1620 nt
Filed under: Cottoperca gobio
Lineage: Eukaryota; Metazoa; Chordata; Actinopteri; Perciformes; Bovichtidae
Description: lncRNA (ENSCGOG00000019720.1)
Source: RNAcentral